This 1141-nucleotide long non-coding RNA is filed under the name Olea europaea subsp. europaea. The record is from RNAcentral. Lineage: Eukaryota; Viridiplantae; Streptophyta; Magnoliopsida; Lamiales; Oleaceae.
CGUUGAAGGAACACACGUAACUUAUGUCAUGUUUAUAUCGAUUAUUUGAUUAACCAUUAUGUGAUAUUUAAUCAUAUUCUUCGAAAUUAAUUGUAUUUUCUUUAUUAUUUAGUUAAUCAAAUGUCAAACAUUACAAAAUUUGAGUUUGCUGCACUUUACAUAUCUAGCAAAAACUAUCUAUCAUGGAUGCUCGAUGCUGAUAUCUAUCUUGUCUCAAAAGGUUUGGGAGAUAUAAUAAAAGAAGGAAACAAGUAAUUCCUGUAGGAUUGUGCAUGCAUCUUUGUUCGCCGUCAUCUGUAAGAUAGAUUGAAAAUUGAAUAUCUCACUGAAAAAGAUCUAUAGUUUAUUUGAAAAAAUUAACUCAGAGAUUUGAUCAUCAGGGGACUAUAGUUCUCUCCAAAGCCCACUAUGAGUAGAUACACCUUCGUUUGCAAGACUUCAAAACUUCUAGUGAGUACAAUUCUAAACUGUUCAAAAUUAACCUUUUGUAGAAGAAAAACACCGAUGCAGAUAUGUUGUAGAAAACUUUUUCCACAUUUCACGCAUCAAAUGUGCUCCUACAGCAACAAUAUUGUGAGCGUGAUUCAAAACGUACUCAGAACUUAUAUCUUGCUUACUUUUUGUUGGAGAGAAUAAUGAACUCCUGAUGAAAAAUCAUGGAUUACGUUCAAGUGGUUCUGUACCAUUGCCUGAAGCUAUACAUGGAUAAUAUCAAGACAAGAAUGUGGAUGUGGACGUGCACGUGGAAUAAACCAACAAAAUUAUCAACUACAAGGCAAUUAUUUCAAGAGGCACAAAACAAACGAAAAUAGCACAUCCAAAAAGUGGGUAGAAGAAAGUCGCUUUAAAUGUGGAACGAAUGGGCAUUGGACAUGUACCCAUCGCACAGCAAAAUAUCUUGUAGAUCUCUACAAAAAAUCAAUCAAGAGAAAGAGAAAAAUUGAGACAAAUUUUGUUGACUAUGAUGAUUCAAUUGAUGUGAUUCAUUUGAAUGUCUCCGAUUUUUUUGUUUAUCCAAAUGAGAAUAUUAAUCAUUUGAUUGGAGGUGGUGUGAUGGAAAAUAUAGAUUAGUUUAUUUAUAUCUCUAACAUUUUUAUUUUUAUUUUAGAGAUUUAGUUUGAAAUAUGAUUUUACUUUUCGC